This 2867-nucleotide ribosomal RNA is filed under the name Escherichia coli. Its description in RNAcentral is "bacterial LSU rRNA". It matches the Rfam family "Bacterial large subunit ribosomal RNA". Lineage: Bacteria; Pseudomonadati; Pseudomonadota; Gammaproteobacteria; Enterobacterales; Enterobacteriaceae. The record is from RNAcentral.
UGAAGGACGUGCUAAUCUGCGAUAAGCGUCGGUAAGGUGAUAUGAACCGUUAUAACCGGCGAUUUCCGAAUGGGGAAACCCAGUGUGUUUCGACACACUAUCAUUAACUGAAUCCAUAGGUUAAUGAGGCGAACCGGGGGAACUGAAACAUCUAAGUACCCCGAGGAAAAGAAAUCAACCGAGAUUCCCCCAGUAGCGGCGAGCGAACGGGGAGCAGCCCAGAGCCUGAAUCAGUGUGUGUGUUAGUGGAAGCGUCUGGAAAGGCGCGCGAUACAGGGUGACAGCCCCGUACACAAAAAUGCACAURCUGUGAGCUCGAUGAGUAGGGCGGGACACGUGGUAUCCUGUCUGAAUAUGGGGGGACCAUCCUCCAAGGCUAAAUACUCCUGACUGACCGAUAGUGAACCAGUACCGUGAGGGAAAGGCGAAAAGAACCCCGGCGAGGGGAGUGAAAAAGAACCUGAAACCGUGUACGUACAAGCAGUGGGAGCACGCUUMGGCGUGUGACUGCGUACCUUUUGUAUAAUGGGUCAGCGACUUAUAUUCUGUAGCAAGGUUAACCGAAUAGGGGAGCCGAAGGGAAACCGAGUCUUAACUGGGCGUUAAGUUGCAGGGUAUAGACCCGAAACCCGGUGAUCUAGCCAUGGGCAGGUUGAAGGUUGGGUAACACUAACUGGAGGACCGAACCGACUAAUGUUGAAAAAUUAGCGGAUGACUUGUGGCUGGGGGUGAAAGGCCAAUCAAACCGGGAGAUAGCUGGUUCUCCCCGAAAGCUAUUUAGGUAGCGCCUCGUGAAUUCAUCUCCGGGGGUAGAGCACUGUUUCGGCAAGGGGGUCAUCCCGACUUACCAACCCGAUGCAAACUGCGAAUACCGGAGAAUGUUAUCACGGGAGACACACGGCGGGUGCUAACGUCCGUCGUGAAGAGGGAAACAACCCAGACCGCCAGCUAAGGUCCCAAAGUCAUGGUUAAGUGGGAAACGAUGUGGGAAGGCCCAGACAGCCAGGAUGUUGGCUUAGAAGCAGCCAUCAUUUAAAGAAAGCGUAAUAGCUCACUGGUCGAGUCGGCCUGCGCGGAAGAUGUAACGGGGCUAAACCAUGCACCGAAGCUGCGGCAGCGACGCUGAUGCGUUGUUGGGUAGGGGAGCGUUCUGUAAGCCUGCGAAGGUGUGCUGUGAGGCAUGCUGGAGGUAUCAGAAGUGCGAAUGCUGACAUAAGUAACGAUAAAGCGGGUGAAAAGCCCGCUCGCCGGAAGACCAAGGGUUCCUGUCCAACGUUAAUCGGGGCAGGGUGAGUCGACCCCUAAGGCGAGGCCGAAAGGCGUAGUCGAUGGGAAACAGGUUAAUAUUCCUGUACUUGGUGUUACUGCGAAGGGGGGACGGAGAAGGCUAUGUUGGCCGGGCGACGGUUGUCCCGGUUUAAGCGUGUAGGCUGGUUUUCCAGGCAAAUCCGGAAAAUCAAGGCUGAGGCGUGAUGACGAGGCACUACGGUGCUGAAGCAACAAAUGCCCUGCUUCCAGGAAAAGCCUCUAAGCAUCAGGUAACAUCAAAUCGUACCCCAAACCGACACAGGUGGUCAGGUAGAGAAUACCAAGGCGCUUGAGAGAACUCGGGUGAAGGAACUAGGCAAAAUGGUGCCGUAACUUCGGGAGAAGGCACGCUGAUAUGUAGGUGAGGUCCCUCGCGGAUGGAGCUGAAAUCAGUCGAAGAUACCAGCUGGCUGCAACUGUUUAUUAAAAACACAGCACUGUGCAAACACGAAAGUGGACGUAUACGGUGUGACGCCUGCCCGGUGCCGGAAGGUUAAUUGAUGGGGUCAGCGCAAGCGAAGCUCUUGAUCGAAGCCCCGGUAAACGGCGGCCGUAACUAUAACGGUCCUAAGGUAGCGAAAUUCCUUGUCGGGUAAGUUCCGACCUGCACGAAUGGCGUAAUGAUGGCCAGGCUGUCUCCACCCGAGACUCAGUGAAAUUGAACUCGCUGUGAAGAUGCAGUGUACCCGCGGCAAGACGGAAAGACCCCGUGAACCUUUACUAUAGCUUGACACUGAACAUUGAGCCUUGAUGUGUAGGAUAGGUGGGAGGCUUUGAAGUGUGGACGCCAGUCUGCAUGGAGCCGACCUUGAAAUACCACCCUUUAAUGUUUGAUGUUCUAACGUUGACCCGUAAUCCGGGUUGCGGACAGUGUCUGGUGGGUAGUUUGACUGGGGCGGUCUCCUCCUAAAGAGUAACGGAGGAGCACGAAGGUUGGCUAAUCCUGGUCGGACAUCAGGAGGUUAGUGCAAUGGCAUAAGCCAGCUUGACUGCGAGCGUGACGGCGCGAGCAGGUGCGAAAGCAGGUCAUAGUGAUCCGGUGGUUCUGAAUGGAAGGGCCAUCGCUCAACGGAUAAAAGGUACUCCGGGGAUAACAGGCUGAUACCGCCCAAGAGUUCAUAUCGACGGCGGUGUUUGGCACCUCGAUGUCGGCUCAUCACAUCCUGGGGCUGAAGUAGGUCCCAAGGGUAUGGCUGUUCGCCAUUUAAAGUGGUACGCGAGCUGGGUUUAGAACGUCGUGAGACAGUUCGGUCCCUAUCUGCCGUGGGCGCUGGAGAACUGAGGGGGGCUGCUCCUAGUACGAGAGGACCGGAGUGGACGCAUCACUGGUGUUCGGGUUGUCAUGCCAAUGGCACUGCCCGGUAGCUAAAUGCGGAAGAGAUAAGUGCUGAAAGCAUCUAAGCACGAAACUUGCCCCGAGAUGAGUUCUCCCUGACUCCUUGAGAGUCCUGAAGGAACGUUGAAGACGACGACGUUGAUAGGCCGGGUGUGUAAGCGCAGCGAUGCGUUGAGCUAACCGGUACUAAUGAACCGUGAGGCUUAACCUUACAACGCCGAAG